AUCAAUGGUCGGCACAGGCUGAAGGGCCUGUUAUGUGCUGUACUGUUCCAUGUUCUAACUUAAGAACCAGAUGCAGGAGUACGCCAUCUGGCCCUUUGAGCCCACUCCACAAUUCAAUAAGAUCAUGGCUGAUCUUCUCUAUAUAUUUAUAAUCGAUAAUAAAUCACAAUUUUUCAUCAUCCGUCAGCGUGGUGUGUUCCUAUUCAUGAAUGAUUCAGGAUCAUACGUAACAGUUUUGUACAUAAUAAAUUGGGCAAUGUCAUUCUGGGCUGGGAUACUUUUGCUACUGAGCACUCCACUCGCUGAUGUGAUCCUUCAUCUUAUUUCUCAAACUUGGCCAGUAGAUCACUUCUCUUACCUUCUUCAGACUAGACUCGAUUCCUUGAUAGUUUGUGGGGAAUAUUCUGAAGCAUCUUGGUAUCAGCAGAGAUGUCACAGUUGUCGAAGACUCAUCCUUAGGUGUUAAAAGGCUGGCAGAUUGGAUGGAAUAUUGAAUCUCCACAUUGGUGUCAGCUGUGGAUGAGAGUACCUUCUCAGGUAGGAGAAUUGUUCCACAUUUUGGAAGAUUUAUCCAUUGAUCUUAAUGGAAGAAAGGACCGGAACUUGACUUGUGACAGGUUGCUUAAGGAUUUGAGAGUUUUUUGAGAGUAAGGCUAAGACCAAUUCUUCUGUAUACCUCUGCACAGUUGUUAAGCGAGGCUUGAUGAUUCUCUUCUGAGAGAUUAGAGAUGGCAUUGUCAUCCAUAUACUGAGAUUUCAAAAGCGAGGUUCGAGUCAUCUCUGAGUACAGUAUAUCCAAAAAUGUAGUUUUUUUAAGAAUGUUCACUGUUGGAAACAGGGCAUAUGAUUUAUGCAGAGCAAGCUCCCAUUACAGCAAUGUAAUAAUGACCAGACAGUCUGUUUUAUGCUGGUGCUUAUUGGGCAAUUUUAAAAGGACCCUGUAACUUUUAAAAACACUAAAUACACAGUUGAACACCCUGCGCCGCAUUUGUUCUUUAAUCUGCAGAUUCUGAGUUUUUACAGGAAUCAGUACAAUAACAAUGAGUCUGGGAAGUGUGUCCCACACUCAGCAUCGCAGUGAAGCAGCCUGGAAGGGUGUUCCACAGUCAGCAUCGCAGUGAAGCAGCCUGGAAGAGUUGUUCCACAGUCAGCAUCGCAGUGAAGCAGCCUGGGAAAGGUGUCCCACAGUCAACAUCGCAGUGAAACAGUUGCAGAGGGAUUGAGACUGUCAUACAAAUGUUCCUUUACAAAGUAAGUCUGAGAAAGUUAGUGGUUUUUGUCAAGGUUCAUCCCAAGCAGCUCCGUGGUGAAGGAGUCGACUGUACUGUGUUCCCUGGGCCACACAUCAAGACAAACACUGAAUGCCUCUGGAAGACCAUCAGCUUAGUGAAAGAUGCUCGCUGGUCUGCCCAAGCCGUGUUGGUCUUCUCAAAUAAGGAAUUGACCGCAAUCCAGUGUUGCAGAUUGGCACGUUCCAAGGUCCAGCAUUACAAGCUGAGGGACACACUGAAGUUUGAGGCAGCUGCUGCCAAGGUGCAGUGGUGAAAGACCAUUAUCUGAAGUAUUUCUGCUGAAGAGGGGGCCCUUUCAGUUAUCGGGACCUUCUAGUGCCUCAAUGCAUGUAAAUAUAAUCUUGUUUGUGUAAGAAAUGUCCUUUGUUUGUUUGAAUAGAGUAAACUACAGUGUUUGUUUCCUUGAUAUUCUGCUGUACAGAACCGAACUGCAUUUGCGACUGUAUACGUACACAAAGAUAUUUUUGUAAUAAAGUAAAGUAGUCUGGGAA
Molecule: non-coding RNA, 1783 nt
Organism: Chiloscyllium plagiosum (whitespotted bambooshark)
Lineage: Eukaryota; Metazoa; Chordata; Chondrichthyes; Orectolobiformes; Hemiscylliidae
Source: RefSeq, a predicted model, not a curated record